This 451-nucleotide ribosomal RNA is filed under the name uncultured bacterium. RNAcentral's name for it is "bacterial SSU rRNA". It matches the Rfam family "Bacterial small subunit ribosomal RNA", at positions 354 to 796 of the family's 1533-position model. The record is from RNAcentral.
GUAGGGAAUAUUGCGCAAUGGGGGAAACCCUGACGCAGCAACGCCGCGUGAGUGAGGAAGGUCUUCGGAUUGUAAAACUCUUUUAUUAGGGAAAAAUGUCUAGGUGGCUAAUAUCCACUUAGAGUGAUGGUACCUAAGGAAUAAGCACCGGCUAACUUCGUGCCAGCAGCCGCGGUAAUACGAAGGGUGCAAGCGUUGUUCGGAAUCAUUGGGCGUAAAGCGCGCGCAGGCGGGUCAGUAAGUCAGGUGUGAAAUCUCGGAGCUCAACUCCGAAACUGCGCCUGAAACUAUUGGUCUAGAGUAUCGGAGGGGACAGGGGAAUUUCACGUGUAGGGGUAAAAUCCGUAGAGAUGUGAAGGAACACCGGAGGCGAAGGCGCCUGUCUGGACGAUUACUGACGCUGAGGCGCGAAAGCGUGGGGAGCAAACAGGAUUAGAAACCCUAGUAGUCC